UGGCGAACGGGUGAGUAACGCGUGAGGAACCUGCCUCAAAGAGGGGACGAACAGUUGGAAACGACUGCUAAUACCGCAUAAGCCCACGACCCGGCAUCGGGAAGAGGGAAAAGGAGCAAUCCGCUUUGAGAUGGCCUCGCGUCCGAUUAGCUAGUUGGUGAGGUAACGGCCCACCAAGGCAACGAUCGGUAGCCGGACUGAGAGGUUGAACGGCCACAUUGGGACUGAGACACGGCCCAG
Molecule: ribosomal RNA, 240 nt
Filed under: uncultured bacterium
Lineage: Bacteria
Description: partial 16S ribosomal RNA
Rfam family: Bacterial small subunit ribosomal RNA
Source: RNAcentral